GACGGAGGGUGCUAGCGUUGUUCGGAAUGACUGGGCGUAAAGGGCGCGUAGGCGGCUCGUGAAGUCGGGUGUGAAAGCCCGGGGCUCAACCCCGGAACGGCAUCCGAUACUGGCGGGCUUGAGACCGGGAGAGGAGGGUGGAAUACCCAGUGUAGAGGUGAAAUGCGCAGAUAUCAGGAAGAACACCCGUGGCUAAGGCGGUUCUCUAGUACGGUACUGACGCUGAGACGCGAAAGCGUGGGGAGCGAACAGG
RNAcentral lists this ribosomal RNA (253 nucleotides) under uncultured bacterium. RNAcentral describes it as "partial 16S ribosomal RNA". It matches the Rfam family "Bacterial small subunit ribosomal RNA", at positions 524 to 776 of the family's 1533-position model. The record is from RNAcentral.